Molecule: ribosomal RNA, 254 nt
Filed under: uncultured bacterium
Lineage: Bacteria
Description: partial 16S ribosomal RNA
Rfam family: Bacterial small subunit ribosomal RNA
Source: RNAcentral
UACGUAGGGGGCAAGCGUUGUCCGGAGUUACUGGGCGUAAAGCGCACGCAGGCGGUCGCGUAAGAGUGCGGGGACAGUGGGCGGCUUAACUGCCCAAGGGUCGCACAGACUGCGUGACUGGAGGGCCAGGGAGGGACCUGGAAUUCCGGGUGGAGCGGUGAAAUGCGUAGAGAUCCGGAGGAACACCAAUGGCGAAGGCAGGGGUCCUGGCUGGCACCUGACGCUCAUGUGCGAAAGCCAGGGGAGCGAACGGG